GAUUGAUGUCUAGCAAUGUGUCAAGACUAUCUGAAAGAUUUAAAAUUUUGAUAAAAAAUUAUCAAAAUAUCUUUCGGUGGUAAGUUUCCAUAUAAUUCAAUCCUUCAGUCAAACAACAUCCCAGAUGAGCUAUGAGUAUGAAAAUAGUCAAACUCAAUCACUUAUUUUUAUGUAUCUCGAUCUGAAGGAGAUGAUUCAGUGGAUGAUAUAUUAAAUUUUUUUUUAAUUAUCAUCCUGCUUUGGCCAA
RNAcentral lists this long non-coding RNA (247 nucleotides) under Elaeis guineensis (African oil palm). RNAcentral describes it as "long non-coding RNA (EGUI_LNC036350)". Lineage: Eukaryota; Viridiplantae; Streptophyta; Magnoliopsida; Arecales; Arecaceae. The record is from RNAcentral.